GUGGCCUCGCGACGGCGGAGGGUUAGUAACGCGUGGGAACGUGCCCAGAGGUGCGGAACAACAGUUGGAAACGACUGCUAAUACCGCAUAAGCCCUACGGGGGAAAGAUUUAUCACCUUUGGAUCGGCCCGCGUUGGAUUAGCUUGUUGGUGGGGUAAAGGCCCACCAAGGCGACGAUCCAUAGCUGGUUUGAGAGGAUGAUCAGCAACACUGGGACUGAGACACGGCCCAGACUCCUACGGGAGGCAGCAGUGGGGAAUCAUAGACAAUGGGCGCAAGCCUGAUCUUGCCAUGCCGCGUGAGCGAAGAAGGCCUUAGGGUUGUAAAGCUCUUUCACCGGUGAAGAUAAUGACGGUAGCCGGAGAAGAAGCCCCGGCUAACUCCGUGCCAGCAGCCGCGGUAAUACGGAGGUGGCUAGCGUUGUUCGGAAUUACUGGGCGUAAAGCGCGCGUAGGCGGGCUGUUAAGUCGGGGGUGAAAUCCCGGGGCUCAACCCCGGAACUGCCCUCGAUACUGGCAGCCUAGAGGUCGAGAGAGGUGAGUGGAAUACCGAGUGUAGAGGCGAAAUUCGUAGAUAUUCGGUGGAACACCAGUGGCGAAGGCGGCUCACUGGCUCGAUUCUGACGCUGAGGUGCGAAAGCGUGGGGAGCA
Molecule: ribosomal RNA, 650 nt
Filed under: uncultured bacterium
Lineage: Bacteria
Description: bacterial SSU rRNA
Rfam family: Bacterial small subunit ribosomal RNA
Source: RNAcentral